UACGGAGGGUGCAAACGUUGCUCGGAAUCAUUGGGCGUAAAGCGCACGUAGGUGGUCUGUUAAGUCUGAUGUGAAAGCCCUGGGCUCAACCCAGGAAGUGCAUCGGAAACUGGCAGGCUUGAGUAUGGAAGAGGGUCGCGGAAUUCCCGGUGUAGAGGUGAAAUUCGUAGAUAUCGGGAGGAACACCAGUGGCGAAGGCGGCGACCUGGACCAAUACUGACACUGAGGUGCGAAAGCGUGGGGAGCAAACAGG
This 253-nucleotide ribosomal RNA is filed under the name uncultured bacterium. RNAcentral's name for it is "partial 16S ribosomal RNA". It matches the Rfam family "Bacterial small subunit ribosomal RNA", at positions 524 to 776 of the family's 1533-position model. The record is from RNAcentral.